AGUGAACGCUGGCGGUAGGCCUAACACAUGCAAGUCGAACGGCAGCACAGUAAGAGCUUGCUCUUACGGGUGGCGAGUGGCGGACGGGUGAGGAAUACAUCGGAAUCUACUUUUUCGUGGGGGAUAACGUAGGGAAACUUACGCUAAUACCGCAUACGACCUACGGGUGAAAGCAGGGGAUCUUCGGACCUUGCGCGAUUGAAUGAGCCGAUGUUGGAUUAGCUAGUUGGCGGGGUAAAGGCCCACCAAGGCGACGAUCCGUAGCUGGUCUGAGAGGAUGAUCGGCCACACUGGAACGGAGACACGGUCCAGACGCCUACGGGAGGCAGCAGUGGGGAAUAUUGGACAAUGGGCGCAAGCCUGAUCCAGCCAUACCGCGUGGGUGAAGAAGGCCUUCGGGUUGUAAAGCCCUUUUGUUGGGAAAGAAAAGCAGCAGGUUAAUACCCCGCUGUUCUGACGGUACCCAAAGAAUAAGCACCGGCUAACUUCGUG
This 492-nucleotide ribosomal RNA is filed under the name uncultured bacterium. RNAcentral describes it as "partial 16S ribosomal RNA". It matches the Rfam family "Bacterial small subunit ribosomal RNA", at positions 29 to 507 of the family's 1533-position model. The record is from RNAcentral.